GCACUGGUCGUCCAUCCAACCAAACCAUAUGUGCUCUCUACUUUUAACAAAAUGAAACUUUGGGACUGGGACAAAGAUUGGGAGUGCAUACAAACAUUUGAUAUGGAACACUCUGCUUCCAUACGUCAAGUAGCAUUUAGUCCAAAAGACACAAACACUUUUGCUAGUGCUUCAAGUGAUCACACAAUAAAGCUUUGGAGACUUAAUUCUUCCAAAUCUGAGUAUACGUUGUGUGGCCAUUCGGACAAAGUGAACUGCCUGGAGUUCUUCACUGGUGAUGGUCAGCAAUAUUUGAUUACUGGCUCUCAAGAC
RNAcentral lists this ribosomal RNA (312 nucleotides) under Triticum aestivum (bread wheat). Its description in RNAcentral is "partial small subunit ribosomal RNA". Lineage: Eukaryota; Viridiplantae; Streptophyta; Magnoliopsida; Poales; Poaceae. The record is from RNAcentral.